GAGGGAGGGGUGAGAAGACUAGU
Molecule: non-coding RNA, 23 nt
Filed under: Cricetulus griseus (Chinese hamster)
Lineage: Eukaryota; Metazoa; Chordata; Mammalia; Rodentia; Cricetidae
Source: RNAcentral